This 417-nucleotide ribosomal RNA is filed under the name uncultured bacterium. RNAcentral's name for it is "bacterial SSU rRNA". It matches the Rfam family "Bacterial small subunit ribosomal RNA", at positions 770 to 1185 of the family's 1533-position model. The record is from RNAcentral.
UAACCGGAUUAGAUACCCUGGUAGUCCACGCCCUAAACGAUGCGAACUGGAUGUUGGGUGCAAUUUGGCACGCAGUAUCGAAGCUAACGCGUUAAGUUCGCCGCCUGGGGAGUACGGUCGCAAGACUGAAACUCAAAGGAAUUGACGGGGGCCCGCACAAGCGGUGGAGUAUGUGGUUUAAUUCGAUGCAACGCGAAGAACCUUACCUGGCCUUGACAUGUCGAGAACUUUCCAGAGAUGGAUGGGUGCCUUCGGGAACUCGAACACAGGUGCUGCAUGGCUGUCGUCAGCUCGUGUCGUGAGAUGUUGGGUUAAGUCCCGCAACGAGCGCAACCCUUGUCCUUAGUUGCCAGCACGUAAUGGUGGGAACUCUAAGGAGACCGCCGGUGACAAACCGGAGGAAGGUGGGGAUGACGU